This 253-nucleotide ribosomal RNA is filed under the name uncultured prokaryote. RNAcentral's name for it is "partial 16S ribosomal RNA". It matches the Rfam family "Bacterial small subunit ribosomal RNA", at positions 524 to 776 of the family's 1533-position model. The record is from RNAcentral.
UACGGAGGGUGCAAGCGUUAUCCGGAUUCACUGGGUUUAAAGGGAGCGUAGGUGGUUUUGUAAGUCAGUGGUGAAAUCUCGCAGCUUAACUGCGGAACUGCCAUUGAUACUGCUUAACUUGAAUCAAGUAGAGGUGGAUGGAAUAUUACAUGUAGCGGUGAAAUGCUUAGAGAUGUAAUAGAACACCGAUUGCGAAGGCAGUUCACUAUGCUUGUAUUGACACUGAGGCUCGAAAGCGUGGGGAUCAAACAGG